GGAGUUGCAGCUCAGGGGCAGAGCACUUGCCUGGCACGCAAAAGGCCUUGGGUUUGAUCCCCAGCACUA
RNAcentral lists this transfer RNA (69 nucleotides) under Heterocephalus glaber (naked mole-rat). It matches the Rfam family "tRNA". From Rfam's summary of the family: Transfer RNA (tRNA) molecules are approximately 80 nucleotides in length. Their secondary structure includes four short double-helical elements and three loops (D, anti-codon, and T loops). Further hydrogen bonds mediate the characteristic L-shaped molecular structure. tRNAs have two regions of fundamental functional importance: the anti-codon, which is responsible for specific mRNA codon recognition, and the 3' end, to which the tRNAs corresponding amino acid is attached (by aminoacyl-tRNA synthetases). tRNAs cope with the degeneracy of the genetic code in two manners: having more than one tRNA (with a specific anti-codon) for a particular amino acid; and 'wobble' base-pairing, i.e. permitting non-standard base-pairing at the 3rd anti-codon position. Lineage: Eukaryota; Metazoa; Chordata; Mammalia; Rodentia; Bathyergidae. The record is from Rfam by way of RNAcentral.